RNAcentral lists this long non-coding RNA (225 nucleotides) under Elaeis guineensis (African oil palm). Its description in RNAcentral is "long non-coding RNA (EGUI_LNC010095)". The record is from RNAcentral. Lineage: Eukaryota; Viridiplantae; Streptophyta; Magnoliopsida; Arecales; Arecaceae.
CUAGAUAGGAAUACUGGGAUCGGGGAUAGAUUCUAGUAUCAAGUCACAAUCGGCAUCAAUAAAUAGUGAUGACCCAACUUGGCAAUAUUAUCAAUUUGUUGACAAUACUCAUGGCAAUAUUAGAACAAGAUGUUAAUAUUGUAGAAAAGUAAUAAUAGCUAAAAUCAUCCUAAUGAGGAUCAUCUAUUGGGGAAAAUAGGUCACUUAAUAUCCAUUAAUCAUUUC